CUCCAAGGCUAAAUACUCCUGACUGACCGAUAGUGAACCAGUACCGUGAGGGAAAGGCGAAAAGAACCCCGGCGAGGGGAGUGAAAAAGAACCUGAAACCGUGUACGUACAAGCAGUGGGAGCCUCUUUAUGGGGUGACUGCGUACCUUUUGUAUAAUGGGUCAGCGACUUAUAUUCUGUAGCAAGGUUAACCGAAUAGGGGAGCCGAAGGGAAACCGAGUCUUAACUGGGCGUUAAGUUGCAGGGUAUAGACCCGAAACCCGGUGAUCUAGCCAUGGGCAGGUUGAAGGUUGGGUAACACUAACUGGAGGACCGAACCGACUAAUGUUGAAAAAUUAGCGGAUGACUUGUGGCUGGGGGUGAAAGGCCAAUCAAACCGGGAGAUAGCUGGUUCUCCCCGAAAGCUAUUUAGGUAGCGCCUCGUGAAUUCAUCUCCGGGGGUAGAGCACUGUUUCGGCAAGGGGGUCAUCCCGACUUACCAACCCGAUGCAAACUGCGAAUACCGGAGAAUGUUAUCACGGGAGACACACGGCGGGUGCUAACGUCCGUCGUGAAGAGGGAAACAACCCAGACCGCCAGCUAAGGUCCCAAAGUCAUGGUUAAGUGGGAAACGAUGUGGGAAGGCCCAGACAGCCAGGAUGUUGGCUUAGAAGCAGCCAUCAUUUAAAGAAAGCGUAAUAGCUCACUGGUCGAGUCGGCCUGCGCGGAAGAUGUAACGGGGCUAAACCAUGCACCGAAGCUACGGCAGCGACGCUUAUGCGUUGUUGGGUAGGGGAGCGUUCUGUAAGCCUGCGAAGGUGUGCUGUGAGGCAUGCUGGAGGUAUCAGAAGUGCGAAUGCUGACAUAAGUAACGAUAAA
RNAcentral lists this ribosomal RNA (858 nucleotides) under Escherichia coli. Its description in RNAcentral is "partial 23S ribosomal RNA". It matches the Rfam family "Bacterial large subunit ribosomal RNA", at positions 458 to 1316 of the family's 2925-position model. The record is from RNAcentral. Lineage: Bacteria; Pseudomonadati; Pseudomonadota; Gammaproteobacteria; Enterobacterales; Enterobacteriaceae.